GCGGCCACGGGUGGUGGCGAGGGGGUUACGCCAAGUAAACCGGGCUGCCGCGUAAACCACGCUUCGGUCUCUCCCGCAGGGCCCGGCACCCCGACACCGCCGCCUCCUGCGCUGGCCGGAGCACGGGGGUGCUCGUCCCGCACCAGAGGCCUGGGCAAGUCCCAGGCCAGCGGUGUGCGCGACGGCGAGGUAGCGACUGUGGGACUCGCCGGGCCUCGAAACCCGUCGCGAAGGCCUGAGAUGAGUUUUCUGUGCUGUAAGCUCUGCGAUGUCUGCUCAGACCCCACGCCCUGCAAGAGAAAGGUUACACCACUAUCAGUGCUGAACUUCAAGCCCACUGUCAGCCCCCACAGGAUUCAUUCAGACCCAGGACAGCGCCUGCCACUGUCAUUACAGCUUAGCCUUUUCUGAAUGGUAACACAGUUCACGUUUUUCCAAGUCCUGAUUGAGGGGCAAGAGGAGGCUCGCCCAGAGGCUUCACCAGGAAGAAGUUCACAAGGACCCUUCAGUUCACAAGCGUGCUCAAAACACAUCACCCGUGAGCCAUUCACUGUCCAACAAGAAAAGAGACUUCAGUUAAAUGUAUGUAGCUACCUUUUGGCUUGGGUGGUUUAAAACAAACAAAAAUAAAAAAAUAUAUUCUGGAAAGAAAAUAAAACA
This 660-nucleotide long non-coding RNA is filed under the name Struthio camelus australis. RNAcentral's name for it is "lncRNA (ENSSCUG00000013792.1)". Lineage: Eukaryota; Metazoa; Chordata; Aves; Struthioniformes; Struthionidae. The record is from RNAcentral.